CCUUUUGUAGAAUGAACCGGCGAGUUACGAUUUGAUGCAAGGUUAAGCAGUAAAUGUGGAGCCGUAGCGAAAGCGAGUCUGAAUAGGGCGUUUAGUAUUUGGUCGUAGACCCGAAACCAGGUGAUCUACCCUUGGUCAGGUUGAAGUUCAGGUAACACUGAAUGGAGGACCGAACCGACUUACGUUGAAAAGUGAGCGGAUGAACUGAGGGUAGCGGAGAAAUUCCAAUCGAACCUGGAGAUAGCUGGUUCUCUCCGAAAUAGCUUUAGGGCUAGCCUCAAGUGAUGAUUAUUGGAGGUAGAGCACUGUUUGGACGAGGGGCCCCUCUCGGGUUACCGAAUUCAGACAAACUCCGAAUGCCAAUUAAUUUAACUUGGGAGUCAGAACAUGGGUGAUAAGGUCCGUGUUCGAAAGGGAAACAGCCCAGACCACCAGCUAAGGUCCCAAAAUAUAUGUUAAGUGGAAAAGGAUGUGGCGUUGCCCAGACAACUAGGAUGUUGGCUUAGAAGCAGCCAUCAUUUAAAGAGUGCGUAAUAGCUCACUAGUCGAGUGACACUGCGCCGAAAAUGUACCGGGGCUAAACAUAUUACCGAAGCUGUGGAUUGUCCUUUGGACAAUGGUAGGAGAGCGUUCUAAGGGCGUUGAAGCAUGAUCGUAAGGACAUGUGGAGCGCUUAGAAGUGAGAAUGCCGGUGUGAGUAGCGAAAGACGGGUGAGAAUCCCGUCCACCGAUUGACUAAGGUUUCCAGAGGAAGGCUCGUCCGCUCUGGGUUAGUCGGGUCCUAAGCUGAGGCCGACAGGCGUAGGCGAUGGAUAACAGGUUGAUAUUCCUGUACCACCUAUAAUCGUUUUA
This 852-nucleotide ribosomal RNA is filed under the name Staphylococcus aureus. Its description in RNAcentral is "partial 23S ribosomal RNA". It matches the Rfam family "Bacterial large subunit ribosomal RNA", at positions 604 to 1461 of the family's 2925-position model. Lineage: Bacteria; Bacillati; Bacillota; Bacilli; Caryophanales; Staphylococcaceae. The record is from RNAcentral.